AUGCAGAAUGAAAUCGGGUGGCAGCGUUUCCUGGGUGGGAAUGGAACACCUAACUCAGAGGGAGGCACCCUAGGCCAUGUGACACCUCCUUUGGAUUCUGGGGUCACUGACACAGCAGUGAUGGGGCAGAGGAGAAGUUCUAGAAUCUCAGAAGGGUUGGGAAGGCAACACCCAAAAUGGCGUGAAACGAAGAUGACAGUUUCCUUGUGUGUUUGGCCUGGAAUGUUAACUGAGCCAUGAUCACGUUCAAGCUACUGCGUUCAGAAUUGUGGAGAUCCGAAAAUCAACGAAGAUCCUUCCAUGAACGAAGGUCCUUCAUUCAUUUGAUUCAUCCUGCAAACACACAAUGAGCACCUACUAUGUACCAGGCACGGCUCCAGACAACGAGUACACAUCUCUGAAUAAGACAGCAGCUAUUCCCACUCUCAUCGAGCUGACGUCAUAGCGGAGCUGCUAAACCAUGAACAAAUGAGGAAAUUACGUUGUAAUGGGUGGCACGGAAAAUACGACGGACUUACAACCUAGAGAGUGCGGAUGGUGGCUACAGCUGAGGCUGUCAGACAAAGAAGGGCUGAGAAAGCGAGGUCGCAAAAAAGAAAAAAAAAAAAAAACCCACCCCUCCCAAAAUGUUAUUAUCUCACAUGGUUUCUGAGGAUCGGGGAUCUGGAGCAGCUUAACUGGGGGAUUCUGGCCCCGGUGUCUCAUGAAAUACAGUUAAGAUGUUGACCAGGGUGACAGGCAUCGUGUGACUCACUGGAGGCAGGAGGACCCACUUCCAAGAUCCACUCACAUGGCUGUUGGUGGGAGGCCUGGCUCUUCACCAUGUGGACUUCUCCACGGGGUCGCUGGGGUGCCUUCACGGUGUGGCUCUUGGCUUCUCCACAGACGGGAUGAACCCAGAGAGAGAGAAAGGAGGAGGCCACGGUUCUUCUUAGGACCUGGUCCUGGACGUCCAAAACCUUCCCUUCCGCCGUAUUCCAUUCUUCCAAAGUGAGCUGCCGAGCCCAGCCCAUGCUCGAGGGGGGAUUAGCUCCACCUCUAUGAAGAAAGAGCGGAGUGUCAAAGAACACAGCGCUAUUCGAGAUUUGUAAUUAUAAUAAUUACUAGUAUCGGUAUUUUGCACGCUGUUGGUACCUCCCAUGAGGAAGGGUGCUGCACGGACCUUCUGCUAACCAGUCCUCAGUCUCUCCGAGACCCUAAGGGGAUCCUGGAGGGCAUCCUCAAGGCAACCCUAUGAGCUGCUUGCUAUGGUCUCCAUUUUACACAGGACACAGAGGAGAUUAAGAAACAUGCCCGAAGGGAGCCUGGGUGGCUCAGUCAGUUAAGCAUCUCCCUUUGUCUCAGGUCCUGAUCUCCAGGUCCUGGGAUCGAGCCCCAUGUCGGGCUCCCAGCUCAGUGGGGAGCCUGCUUCUCCCUGUCCUGCUCCCCCUGCUCGUGCUCUCUCUCAAAUGAAUAAAUAAAAUCUUAAAAAAAAAUGGGGCGCCUGGGUGGCUCAGUCGUUAAGCAUCUGCCUUUGGCCCAGGGAGUGAUCCCAGAGUCCUGGGAUUGAGCCCCGCGUUGGGCUCCCUGCUCCGCUGGGAGCCUGCUUCUUCCUCUCCCACUCACCCUACUUGUGUUCCCUCUCUCACUGGCUGUCUCUCUGUCAAAGAAAUAAAUAAAAUCGUAAAAAAAAAAAGAAAAGAAAAAAA
RNAcentral lists this long non-coding RNA (1688 nucleotides) under Ailuropoda melanoleuca (giant panda). Its description in RNAcentral is "lncRNA (ENSAMEG00000026045.1)". Lineage: Eukaryota; Metazoa; Chordata; Mammalia; Carnivora; Ursidae. The record is from RNAcentral.